GACGAACGCUGGCGGCGUGCUUAACACAUGCCAGUCGAACGGAAAGGCCUCUUUCGGGGGGUACUCGAGUGGCGAACGGGUGAGUAACACGUGAGUAACCUGCCCUUGACUUUGGGAUAACUUCAGGAAACUGGGGCUAAUACCGGAUAGGAGCUCCUGCUGCAUGGCGGGGGUUGGAAAGUUUCGGCGGUUGGGGAUGGACUCGCGGCUUAUCAGCUUGUUGGUGGGGUAGUGGCUUACCAAGGCUUUGACGGGUAGCCGGCCUGAGAGGGUGACCGGCCACAUUGGGACUGAGAUACGGCCCAGACUCCUACGGGAGGCAGCAGUGGGGAAUAUUGCACAAUGGGUGGAAGCCUGAUGCAGCAACGCCGUGUGCGGGAUGACGGCCUUCGGGUUGUAAACCGCUUUCGCUCAUGACGAAGCUUUGUGUGACGGUAGUGGGUAAAGAAGCACCGGCUAACUACGUG
RNAcentral lists this ribosomal RNA (467 nucleotides) under uncultured bacterium. RNAcentral describes it as "partial 16S ribosomal RNA". It matches the Rfam family "Bacterial small subunit ribosomal RNA", at positions 28 to 507 of the family's 1533-position model. The record is from RNAcentral.